Non-coding RNA from Cinara cedri, 709 nucleotides. NCBI's taxonomy places the organism in Eukaryota, Metazoa, Arthropoda, Insecta, Hemiptera, Aphididae. The record is from the annotation of a GenBank genome assembly.
CGUUCGAAGUGGUUUGGAUUCGGUUUCGUUUUAAACGGACGUAUUAUAAAAUGCUCGUACUGUAAUUCGGAAUCUAAAAUGUAUACUUGAUGUACAUAUAUAGUAUAUACCGUAUUUGAUUUUCCUGCAAAACUAAAAAGUAAAGAAUUUAAUAAUGGGUAAUCGUAAAAAUUAUAGACACUAAAAAAAGGUAAGGGUUGGAGAUCUCCUUAUAAUCUCCUCCUCCCCCCCCAGUAAAUACGCCACUGCAGGGUGAUUUUAAUUUAUACAACGCAGAAUUUACGUGCUGUUUGCGAGCUCGGACGAGCAAUGCCAAGGGCUUUUUUAUUUCCAUUAGUAUUCGCAAUAUCAUCGCGAAAUUGAGCAUAUUGAAAAAUAAUAAAUAUUAAAGUGUCUUGAAAAAAUAAAUACAAUUUAAUAUAAUUAGACCGUUUGAAUGUAUACCUCACAUUCGUUAAAAGUAACCGAUGACUAUUUCCCCUCAAAAGUGAAAUCUUUUACAAAGUGAUAAUAUUCAUUUGUUUGUUUCAUCAGUCGUGUUGGUUACAAAGCGGUCACAAAAUGUUGUAACCAUCUCGGAUAGAUGUUGACGAUCGGUGACUUUUCAUCAUCCCCUCCAGAAUUAUUAUUUCUCCUAUCGUUAAACCAUUUUCGCGGUGUCUAAGGCGUAUUAUCAUUAUUGACGUAGCCGUUUAAGUUGUUGUUUCUG